This is a long non-coding RNA of Oryctolagus cuniculus (rabbit), 492 nucleotides long. RefSeq lists it as uncharacterized. NCBI's taxonomy places the organism in Eukaryota, Metazoa, Chordata, Mammalia, Lagomorpha, Leporidae. The record is from RefSeq and is a predicted model, not a curated record.
CCGGCUACGCCCUGGGCGUUGGCUGAUCUCCCGGCUCUGGUGUGGUUCCUUUGCCGCCGACACUCUUCAUCCCUCUCGGCCCCGAGCUCCCCAGGCUGGCCCUGAGCAGCUCUAUCGGACCUGCUACCCCGUGACGAGCAGCAACUGGUGCCCCGUGUGAGGACUCACGAAGUCGCUGACGGGCUAAUCGGACUGCAGGAUGCAAAUCAGCAGGAAGCUGGAGUUAGAAGCAGAGACGGAGCUCAAACCAAGCUCUCUGCUAUGGCCUGGGAAAGCAGUAGAAGAUGGCCCAAGUCCUUGGGCACCUGCACCCAUGUGGGAGAUCUGGAAGAAGAUUCUGGCUCCUGGCUUCAGAUCAGCACAGCUCCAGCUAUUGUGGCCAAUUGGGGAGUAAACCAGUGGAUAGAGCACCCCCCUUUCUCUCUGCCUCUCCUCCUCUCUCUGUGUAACUCUGAUUUUCAAAUAAAUAAAUAAAUCUUAAAAAGAAGCAAA